CCUACGGGUGGCAGCAGUGAGGAAUAUUGGUCAAUGGACGAGAGUCUGAACCAGCCAAGUAGCGUGAAGGAUGACUGCCCUAUGGGUUGUAAACUUCUUUUAUAUGGGAAUAAAAUGUUCCACGUGUGGGAUUUUGUAUGUACCAUAUGAAUAAGGAUCGGCUAACUCCGUGCCAGCAGCCGCGGUAAUACGGAGGAUCCUAGCGUUAUCCGGAUUUAUUGGGUUUAAAGGGAGCGUAGGUGGAUUGUUAAGUCAGUUGUGAAAGUUUGCGGCUCAACCGUAAAAUUGCAGUUGAAACUGGCAGUCUUGAGUACAGUAGAGGUGGGCGGAAUUCGUGGUGUAGCGGUGAAAUGCUUAGAUAUCACGAAGAACUCCGAUUGCGAAGGCAGUUCACUGGACUGCAACUGACACUGAGGCUCGAAAGUGUGGGUAUCAAACAGGAUUAGAUACCCUUGUAGUC
Molecule: ribosomal RNA, 460 nt
Filed under: uncultured bacterium
Lineage: Bacteria
Description: partial 16S ribosomal RNA
Rfam family: Bacterial small subunit ribosomal RNA
Source: RNAcentral